AGUGAACGCUGGCGGUAGGCCUAACACAUGCAAGUCGAACGGCAGCACAGUAAGAGCUUGCUCUUACGGGUGGCGAGUGGCGGACGGGUGAGGAAUACAUCGGAAUCUACUUUUUCGUGGGGGAUAACGUAGGGAAACUUACGCUAAUACCGCAUACGACCUACGGGUGAAAGCAGGGGAUCUUCGGACCUUGCGCGAUUGAAUGAGCCGAUGUCGGAUUAGCUAGUUGGCGGGGUAAAGGCCCACCAAGGCGACGAUCCGUAGCUGGUCUGAGAGGAUGAUCAGCCACACUGGAACGGAGACACGGUCCAGACGCCUAAGGGAGGCAGCAGUGGGGAAUAUUGGACAAAGGGCGCAAGCCUGAUCCAGCCGUACCGCGUGGGUGAAGAAGGCCUUCGGGUUGUAAAGCCCUUUUGUUGGGAAAGAAAAGCAGCAGGUUAAUACCCCGCUGUUCUGACGGUACCCAAAGAAUAAGCACCGGCUAACUUCGUG
RNAcentral lists this ribosomal RNA (492 nucleotides) under uncultured bacterium. RNAcentral's name for it is "partial 16S ribosomal RNA". It matches the Rfam family "Bacterial small subunit ribosomal RNA", at positions 29 to 507 of the family's 1533-position model. The record is from RNAcentral.